RNAcentral lists this long non-coding RNA (446 nucleotides) under Callithrix jacchus (white-tufted-ear marmoset). RNAcentral describes it as "lncRNA (ENSCJAG00000077861.1)". The record is from RNAcentral. Lineage: Eukaryota; Metazoa; Chordata; Mammalia; Primates; Cebidae.
ACGAAACUAUGGCAGUCUAAGUUGUCAGCUUCCAAGUAGGAGCCAUGAGUGGACCUGUCUUGGAUCUUCACUGUGAGAACCUGGUGAGAUUCCUGGAAGUCAAGACCAUGAGAGUGUGCAUUCCCCCUAAGACUUGGCACCAAGGAACUUUUUGCACAUUCAGCCCUCAGUAGUGAAACUACCAUUAAGUGUUCCUACUAGUUUAUGGCUCCAGCAUCUUUUCCCUUAGAAUCGAAAGAAUACCACCCAAACGGAGAAGAAGUAAUAUUAAUUAUUGUUGUGGAAGGAGAAAUUAUUUUCUUGGGCAAAGAUUCCACUUUAUUCUGGAGCGUGCCCUUUUCAGGAAUGGACCUGAAUGCUAUGGCUUCAACUGUGCCCCUCAAAAAGGUAUGCUGAAGCCCUGACAUUCAGCAUGUCAAAAUGUGACCUUACUUGGAAAUGAGAUG